This is a regulatory RNA element of 105 nucleotides. It matches the Rfam family "L2-Alphaproteobacteria ribosomal protein leader". The record is from Rfam.
GGGGACCUUCGGGGCCCUACAUCCGACGACCGGGUUCGCCCGGUCCGAACAUAGGCGGGGCGCCCAUCCGGGGCAGCUUCGCCGUCUGCAAACGGAAGACAGAAA